Molecule: ribosomal RNA, 357 nt
Filed under: Triticum aestivum (bread wheat)
Lineage: Eukaryota; Viridiplantae; Streptophyta; Magnoliopsida; Poales; Poaceae
Description: partial small subunit ribosomal RNA
Source: RNAcentral
AUGGCAAAAAUGUCAUCACUUUUUGCGACGCCACCGAUACAAUUUUUGCCAUUUCACCUACACAAUUUUUACCAUGGCAAAAAUCCUAUAACUUUUUCCAUGUCACCAACACAAAUUUUGCCAUGGAAAAAAUCUUAUAAUUUUUGCCAUGUCACCAAUACAAUUUUUGACAUUUCACCAACACAAAUCUUGCCAUGGCAAAAAUCCUGUAACAUUUUCCAUGUCACUGAAACAAAUUUUGCCAUGACAAAAAUCCGUCACCAUAUAUCAUGUUCGACACCUCGUGAUUUUUGCCAUAAAACCAUCAAAACACAAAACCUUUUUCAGACAAAACUUUUUCGGAAACAGAAUCGUUAA